Long non-coding RNA from Lytechinus variegatus (green sea urchin), 341 nucleotides. RefSeq lists it as uncharacterized. The record is from RefSeq and is a predicted model, not a curated record. Lineage: Eukaryota; Metazoa; Echinodermata; Echinoidea; Temnopleuroida; Toxopneustidae. The transcript has 3 exons.
GUUGACGAUUGAUUGAAUAGACUACAAUGUACAAUCAAUCGUAAAACCAAGAGUACGAUCAAUCGUUACGCUUUGUGUCACGGAGCCGGGAUAUGUUUUUCAUUUGUGAUUUUUUCGAUAAUCAACCCCCUAGAUCGACGUUAAACAUUUAUCAUCACCUAGAAUGAAUUGAAUGUUGUCUCUAUAUUUCAGGAUAUAUUUUUGUUAAUUUUCUUAGGUUUUUUCCAUCCAAAUAAUUGCAAUUACGAUAUAUACCGUUUUAUUGAUUAUAUUUACAGCAUGCAUGUAUAUAUAAAUGGGGGUUACUUUUAGAAAAUCUGUCACUGUUCGUUGUUUUUAUU